This 467-nucleotide ribosomal RNA is filed under the name uncultured bacterium. RNAcentral's name for it is "bacterial SSU rRNA". It matches the Rfam family "Bacterial small subunit ribosomal RNA", at positions 28 to 507 of the family's 1533-position model. The record is from RNAcentral.
GACGAACGCUGGCGGCGUGCCUAACACAUGCAAGUCGAACGGGAUCCAUGGGAGCUUGCUCCCGGAAGAUCUAGUGGCGAACGGGUGAGUAACACGUGAGAAACCUGCCUCGGAGUCGGGGAUAACUCGGGGAAACCCGAGCUAAUACCGGAUACCUUCCUCGGACCGCAUGGUCCGUUGAAGAAAGAUUCAUCGCUCCGAGAUGGUCUCGCGGCCUACCAGCUAGUUGGUGGGGUAACGGCCCACCAAGGCUACGACGGGUAGCUGGUUUGAGAGAAUGAUCAGCCACACUGGGACUGAGACACGGCCCAGACUCCUACGGGAGGCAGCAGUGGGGAAUCUUGCGCAAUGGGCGAAAGCCUGACGCAGCAACGCCGCGUGCGGGAAGAAGGCCUUUGGGUUGUAAACCGCUUUCAGCAGGGACGAAACUGACGGUACCUGCAGAAGAAGGUCCGGCUAACUACGUG